CCUGAUACUGUUGUGUGGAUAAGUUUCUCC
This 30-nucleotide non-coding RNA is filed under the name Mus musculus (house mouse). The record is from RNAcentral. Lineage: Eukaryota; Metazoa; Chordata; Mammalia; Rodentia; Muridae.